GGGACAACAGUUGGAAACGACUGCUAAUACCGCAUAAUGUAUUCGGAAGGCAUCUUCUGAAUACCAAAGGAGAAAUCCGCUGAGGGAUGGGCUCACGUCUGAUUAGUUAGUUGGUGAGGUAACGGCUCACCAAGACUGCGAUCAGUAGCCGGACUGAGAGGUUGAACGGCCACAUUGGGACUGAGAUACGGCCCAGACUCCUACGGGAGGCAGCAGUGGGGAAUAUUGGGCAAUGGGCGAAAGCCUGACCCAGCAACGCCGCGUGAAGGAAGAAGGCCUUCGGGUUGUAAACUUCUUUUAAGAGGGACGAAGAAGUGACGGUACCUCUUGAAUAAGCCACGGCUAACUACGUGCCAGCAGCCGCGGUAAUACGUAGGUGGCGAGCGUUAUCCGGAUUUACUGGGUGUAAAGGGCGCGUAGGCGGGAAUGCAAGUCAGAUGUGAAAUCCAGGGGCUUAACCCUUGAACUGCAUUUGAAACUGUAUUUCUUGAGUGUCGGAGAGGUUGACGGAAUUCCUAGUGUAGCGGUGAAAUGCGUAGAUAUUAGGAGGAACACCAGUGGCGAAGGCGGUCAACUGGACGAUAACUGACGCUGAGGCGCGAAAGCGUGGGGAGCGAACAGGAUUAGAUACCCUGGUAGUCCACGCCGUAA
Molecule: ribosomal RNA, 651 nt
Filed under: uncultured bacterium
Lineage: Bacteria
Description: bacterial SSU rRNA
Rfam family: Bacterial small subunit ribosomal RNA
Source: RNAcentral